Picea glauca (white spruce) is the source of this 132-nucleotide non-coding RNA. The record is from Rfam. NCBI's taxonomy places the organism in Eukaryota, Viridiplantae, Streptophyta, Pinopsida, Pinales, Pinaceae.
UUGGUCGUAGAAAGGAGAGAUGGUUGGCAUCUCCCUCGACAAGGACGGGAACAGUCUUCGGAAUUUCCUUUCACAAACCCACACGGAAAACGGUGCUUGUAGUGGCUCGCCGGAUCGAUUCCCAAGCCUUUC